RNAcentral lists this ribosomal RNA (556 nucleotides) under Rana dybowskii. Its description in RNAcentral is "partial 16S ribosomal RNA". It matches the Rfam family "Bacterial large subunit ribosomal RNA", at positions 1829 to 2602 of the family's 2925-position model. Lineage: Eukaryota; Metazoa; Chordata; Amphibia; Anura; Ranidae. The record is from RNAcentral.
CGCCUCUUGACAAAACAUAAGAGGUCCAGCCUGCCCAGUGACAAAGUUUAACGGCCGCGGUACCCUAACCGUGCGAAGGUAGCAUAAUCACUUGUUCUUUAAAUGGGGACUCGUAUCAACGGCACUACGAGGGCUAUACUGUCUCCUUUUUCUAAUCAGUGAAACUGAUCUCCCCGUGAAGAAGCGGGGAUUAAAAUAUAAGACGAGAAGACCCCAUGGAGCUUUAAACUCACCAUGCACCUCUGUGCCCCCAUACCCUUAAACACAACGGACCUGCAUGCUAGUUUUAGGUUGGGGUGACCACGGAGUACAACUUAACCUCCACAGCAAAUGGGCUAAUACCCUUAUCCACGAGACACAACUCUAAGAAUUAUUAUACUAAUGCUUAUGACCCGAUAUUCGAUCAAUGAACCAAGUUACCCUGGGGAUAACAGCGCAAUCUACUUCAAGAGCCCAUAUCGACAAGUAGGUUUACGACCUCGAUGUUGGAUCAGGGUAUCCCGGUGGUGCAGCCGCUACCAAUGGUUUGUUUGUUCAACGAUUAAAACCCUACGUG